RNAcentral lists this ribosomal RNA (433 nucleotides) under uncultured bacterium. RNAcentral's name for it is "partial 16S ribosomal RNA". It matches the Rfam family "Bacterial small subunit ribosomal RNA", at positions 29 to 507 of the family's 1533-position model. The record is from RNAcentral.
AACGAACGCUGGCGGCAUGCCUAACACAUGCAAGUCGAACGAGACCUUCGGGUCUUGUGGCGCACGUCUGCGUACCGCGUGGGAACCUGCCCUUAGGUUCGGAAUAACUCCCCGAAAGGGGUGCUAAUACCGGAUAAUGUCUUCGGACCAAAGAUUUAUCGCCUUUGGGUGGGCCCGCGUUGGAUUCGCUAGUUGGUAGGGUAAAAGCCUACCAAGGCGACGAUCCAUAGCUGGUCUGAGAGGAUGAUCAGCCACACUGGGACUGAGACACGGCCCAGACUCCUACGGAAGGCAGCAGUGGGGAAUAUUGGACAAGGGGGGAAAGCGUGAUCCAGCAAUGCCGGGGGAGUGAUGAAGGCGGUAGGGUUGUAAAGCUCUUUUACCCGGGAUGAUAAUGACAGUACCGGGAGAAUAAGCUCCGGCUAACUCCGUG